GACGAACGCUGGCGGUGUGCUUAACACAUGCAAGUCGAACGGAAAGGCCUGCUUUCCCUUGUGGAUUGCGGGUACUCGAGUGGCGAACGGGUGAGUAACACGUGAGUGAUCUGCCCCCAACUUGGGUAUAAGCCUGGGAAACUGGGUCUAAUUCCCGAUAGGACUGCAGGGUGGUGCCUGUGGUGGAAAACGAUUUUCUAGUGGUUGGGGAUGAGCUCGCGGCCUAUCAGCUUGUUGGUGGGGUAAUGGCCUACCAAGGCGGCGACGGGUAGCCGGCCUGAGAGGGUGGACGGCCACAUUGGGACUGAGAUACGGCCCAGACUCCUACGGGAGGCAGCAGUGGAGAAUAUUGCACAAUGGGCGGAAGCCUGAUGCAGCGACGCCGCGUGGGGGAUGACGGCCUUCGGGUUGUAAACUCCUUUCGACCGCGAGGAAGCCACCUGGUUGGAAGGGUGGUGACGGUAGUGGUAGAAGAAGCACCGGCUAACUACGUG
Molecule: ribosomal RNA, 494 nt
Filed under: uncultured bacterium
Lineage: Bacteria
Description: partial 16S ribosomal RNA
Rfam family: Bacterial small subunit ribosomal RNA
Source: RNAcentral